GCUUACAUCUCUUCGGAGCAUUUUACGAGGUGCUGCAUGGUUGUCGUCAGCUCGUGCCGUGAGGUGUCGGGUUAAGUCCCAUAACGAGCGCAACCCUACCUUUAGUUGCCAUCAGGUAAUGCUGGGGACUCUAAAGGAACUGCCUACGCAAGUAGUGAGGAAGGCGGGGAUGACGUCAAAUCAGCACGGCCCUUACGUCCAGGGCUACACACGUGCUACAAUGGCCGAUACAGAGGGCAGCUACCUGGUGACAGGAUGCAAAUCUCCAAAGUCGGUCUCAGUUCGGAUCGGAGUCUGCAACCCGACUCCGUGAAGUUGGAUUCGCUAGUAAUCGCGCAUCAGCCAUGGCGCGGUGAAUACGUUCCCGGGCCUU
This 373-nucleotide ribosomal RNA is filed under the name uncultured Sphingobacteriales bacterium. RNAcentral's name for it is "bacterial SSU rRNA". It matches the Rfam family "Bacterial small subunit ribosomal RNA", at positions 1007 to 1382 of the family's 1533-position model. The record is from RNAcentral. Lineage: Bacteria; Pseudomonadati; Bacteroidota; Sphingobacteriia; Sphingobacteriales.